This is a non-coding RNA of Salvelinus sp. IW2-2015, 629 nucleotides long. Lineage: Eukaryota; Metazoa; Chordata; Actinopteri; Salmoniformes; Salmonidae. The record is from RefSeq and is a predicted model, not a curated record.
CGAACAAAUUGAAGUUGUAGAAACGUUAGGAACAUUAACCAUGAUUGACAGUGAUAAUAUAAUCACUUUGACUAGAAAUGUAUUACAGGGUGGUUAUUACAUAGUAAGAACAUCGAAACUCUCAACUUAAUUAAAUCAGUUUACACUCUGUGAUGUGUGAAACAAGCACAGAAAGGAUAGUUGAUUUUUCUGACGAGAAGACAGCUGUAAAUCAAUCUAACACGUUUUCCUUUCUGUCCCAGUGCACUGCCCCUACUGGACUCUGACGAGUUAAGACGAGGUGUUAUUCCUGGCGUGAACAGCAGGAGACCACGACAAUCAAUUUUGAGAUGUCUAAAAUGGAAUAGACUGAGGGAGACGAUGUGCACUGCAGACAGACAACCCUAUGGCUGUACAUGAAGGAUGUUAUCCCGUCCUUGUAAGCUUUGUAAACAGCGGUUGUAAAUACGAUGGGAUAAACUAUGACGUAAUGAGCUGACUACUUUUAUUUUAUUUUAGAAUGCCUGCUUAUUUAUAUUUUUGUGGAUAUCUGGUUUAUUUUUUUAGGUUCUUUACUACAAAUGGUAUCAUGCCUUUCACUGUUUACAUAGCUAAAGUGCAGAAUGUGAUUAAAUGUGUUUUUUUGUCCA